RNA transcript from Colius striatus (speckled mousebird), 7338 nucleotides. It is a transcript of the gene named cyclin-dependent kinase 11B-like, with no coding region annotated. The record is from RefSeq and is a predicted model, not a curated record. The transcript is spliced from 25 exons. NCBI's taxonomy places the organism in Eukaryota, Metazoa, Chordata, Aves, Coliiformes, Coliidae.
GGCGGCGACGCGUCAGGGACACGGCACGGCCCGCGGCCGCGGCACGGAGCGAGUGUGCGCGGAGCUGGGCGCUGCGGGACCCGCCCCGGCUCGCUCCAGUUGGGCGUUUGUUUUAAACUCCAAUGGGUGAUGAAAAGGAUUCUUGGAAAGUGAAGACUUUAGAUGAAAUUCUUCAGGAAAAGAAGCGAAGGAAGGAGCAAGAAGAGAAGGCAGAGAUAAAACGUAUGAAAAAUUCAGAUGAUCGGGAUUCAAAGCGGGAUUCUCUCGAGGAGGGGGAGCUGAGAGACCAUCGCAUGGAAAUAACCAUCAGGAACUCACCUUACAGGAGGGAAGACUCUAUGGAAGACAGAGGAGAAGAAGAUGAUUCCUUGGCUAUAAAACCACCUCAGCAAAUGUCACGGAAAGAAAAAACCCACCAUCGGAAAGACGAGAAGAGGAAAGAGAAGCGCAGACACCGCAGCCAUUCAGCAGAAGGGAAACAUGCCAGAGUGAAAGAGAAAGAACGGGAACAUGAGCGUAGGAAGAGACACAGAGAAGAGCAGGACAAAGCCCGGCGGGAGUGGGAGAGACAGAAACGGAGAGAGAUGGCAAGGGAGCAUUCCAGGAGGGAGAGAGACCGUCUGGAGCAGCUGGAGAGAGAGCGAGAGAGAAAAAUCCGAGAGCAGCAGAAAGAGCAAAGGGAGCAAAAGGAGCGAGAGAGGAGAGCAGAGGAGAGGAGGAAGGAGCGGGAGGCCAGGAGAGAAGUUUCUGCACACCAUAGAACAGUGAGGGAAGAAUAUGGAGACAAAGUAAAAAUGAGACCCUGGAGUCGCAGUCCGUUACGGCAGCAGAGAGACAAGCUUGAGCAAGGAGAUAGCAGGAAACCAGCAGUGAAAGAAGAGAAACCAGAAGAGAGGGAUCCCCUGUCAGACUUGCAAGACAUCAGUGACAGCGAGAGAAAAACCAGCUCGGCAGAGUCUUCCUCAGAGUCAGGAUCGGGCUCGGAAGAAGAGGAAGAAGAGUCCAGCAGCGAAGGUUCUGAGGAAGAGGGAGAGGAAGAGGAGGAGGAGGAGGAGGAGGAGGAAGAGGAGGAGACAGGCAGCAAUUCUGAGGAGGUGUCUGAGCAGUCAGCUGAAGAGGUGAGCGAAGAGGAAAUGAGCGAAGAGGAGGAGCGGGAGAAUGGAAACCACAUCCCAGUUGUUACAGAGUCGAGGUUUGACCGAGAUUCAGCGGGAAGUGAAGUAGAAGAGGAGGACGAAGGGGAGGGGAGCCCUCACUCCAAUGCCAUGACAGAAGGAGACUACAUUCCUGACUCACCAGCCUCCUCCCCCGUUGAACUGAAACAGGAGCUUCCCAAGUAUCUUCCUGCACUUCAGGGCUGUCGUAGCGUGGAGGAGUUUCAGUGCUUGAACAGGAUCGAAGAGGGAACGUACGGUGUCGUGUACAGAGCCAAGGACAAGAAGACUGACGAGAUCGUGGCCCUGAAGCGACUGAAAAUGGAGAAGGAGAAGGAAGGUUUUCCCAUUACCUCCCUGAGAGAAAUAAAUACCAUCCUGAAAGCACAGCAUCUGAAUAUUGUCACUGUCAGGGAAAUUGUGGUGGGCAGCAACAUGGAUAAAAUCUACAUUGUGAUGAACUAUGUGGAGCACGAUCUCAAGAGCCUGAUGGAAACGAUGAAGCAGCCGUUUCUGCCAGGUGAAGUGAAGACCCUGAUGAUUCAGUUACUGCGAGGAGUCAAACACCUCCACGACAACUGGAUCCUUCACCGAGACUUGAAAACUUCCAACCUGUUGCUGAGCCACUCAGGCAUCUUAAAGGUGGGGGAUUUCGGGCUGGCCCGCGAGUACGGCUCCCCGCUGAAGCCCUACACACCCUUGGUUGUCACUCGAUGGUACAGGGCUCCAGAGCUGCUGCUUGGAGCUAAGGAAUACUCGACAGCCAUAGACAUGUGGUCAGUGGGCUGCAUCUUCGGGGAGCUGCUCACGCAGAAGCCGCUUUUCCCGGGGAAGUCAGAAAUCGAUCAGAUCAACAAAAUUUUCAAGGAUCUGGGUACUCCAAGUGAGAAAAUCUGGCCAGGUUACAACGAGCUGCCAGCAGUGAAGAAGAUGACAUUCACAGAAUAUCCCUACAACAACCUGCGCAAGAGAUUCGGGGCGCUGCUGUCCGACCAGGGCUUCGACCUGAUGAACAACUUUUUGACAUACUACCCAGCCAGAAGGAUCACAGCUGAGGAUGGGUUGAAGCACGAGUACUUCAGGGAGACUCCCCUUCCCAUCGACCCCUCCAUGUUUCCCACGUGGCCAGCCAAGAGCGAGCAGCAGCGGGUGAAGCGCGGCACCAGCCCCAGGCCGCCCGAGGGAGGCCUGGGCUACAGCCAGCUGGGUGACGAUGAUCUGAAGGACACAGGCUUUCACCUGACCACCACAAACCAAGGAGCAUCUGCUGCAGGGCCUGGCUUCAGCCUCAAGUUUUAAACUCAACAUGAAAGAGGUGGAGAAGAAAAGAACCGUUCAUAUUAGAUCCAGAUCCAGAUUAGGAGUUGUCUUUGAAUUUAUCACACGCUGCAAUUACAUCACUGGCUUUGAGGCUGCUGCAGUUUUGCCUGUACAACUAUUCCUGCUUGAUAACAAUCUGAUUUGGAUCACUGGUCAGCCAAGCAGAGAGCUACAGUCACUGACUAAAGGAAAGGAAGUCACAGGAUGAUUGCAAGGACUUGAUCACAGUGUCCUCAGCUGUGAUUUCACUCUGUAAGAGCUGCAGCUCAGGAAUCGAUCCUUCCAUAGGAAGAAAACACUGUGGGAAGAAAGGGAGAUCAGUCAACAGCAAUACCUAGCAGCAUUUAUGUCCUUCAUGUGAAAGGAGGUGAGUAGCUCUUGAGGUCCCUCUAUUCAGUCUCUCUUAGUUAUUAUAAAGCAGUUACACAGAAGAAAGAUGACAUCUGUAUUGUCUAGAGGAGAUGUUUCCACACACAUCUGUUGUUCUGCACAGCAGCAUUUCUUGCAUAGGCUGGAAGCAACUUUGGCUAAUGCCAGUUUUCUUUGUGGAGAAAUCAUGUGUGAUCCAUCCAAGCUCAUGAACUUCAUCAGGACAGUAAACUCUGAGGCUGCAGCAGUGCUUGAUGUCAUUAAGGAUCUGCCUUUUAUUGUGACUAUUUUCUUGACUCAAGCUCUCUACUUCAUUGUGACUGUGAUAAAACAGGCUACAACCUUCACUAUGAAGUUAACCUUUUAAAGUACUUACUUCUUUCUCUCAGCCCCUGCCCAAAGCUGCGGUAGACGUGGAUCAGUGCCCAAAACAAAACAGCUUUUAUUGCAACAGAAAUGCAGGAGCCGGUAAUGAAAGCAGCCUCCAGAGUGUAAGAAUUCCCUUUGCCCCACUCCCUUAUCACCUGCAGGAGAAUGGAGACACACAGCAAUCAACACCCUGCAGCCCCGAAAUGCCAUCAGACACUUCAGCUUCUGAGAGAAGGCAGUAGAUGGUAACUUGGGGGAAUAAACCUGGUCACUUCUAAACCCUUUUACUCUCUUCAUUACGUGAUUCCCUGGCUGCACAAUUGACUCCAGUUAAAUGCAUUCUACCUUCAGUCAUCUCUGCAGAUAAGAAAACUAGACUUCACCAGAUUGGACUCUGUACAUGAAUUAACAGAACCCCGAGGACUGGGGUGGCUGCAGUCACUGGACUUUAAUCAGCAUCUCAGGACUGUCCCUGUGAAGUAUGAGAAACACUGCUAUCAGCAUUUGAACCCUUCCCAUGAGGAACAGUCUGCUUUGCCCUUGCCCUUCUUCCUUCCCUCCUCUCAUAUAUGUGCUGUAGGAGGUGCUGAGGUGCCCCAGUGAUACGUGCUGUAUCGCUAUUACAGUGCCAAAAAAUGCCCGCGCUGGAGGCUGCUGGGCUUGCACUGCCUCUUGUGGUGGCUGCAUCAGGAUCCACAGCUGGGGGUGCUGCCUCAGAAUGCUUUUCAAAGAUAAUGACUUGAGGUGGGCAAAUACCCUGGCACCACUUGAGACCUCUUGUGAAGGAGGGAGGGCGUUUUUGAGGAUCUGUGUGUUUGUACUGGAAUCAUUCUGGACACUUUGCCAGCUGCAGAGACUUCCAGUGCCCCUCCCUCUAACCGAUCCGUUCAAGAGCAAUUUGAUACGGUUCCUGUCUAGUUGAUCCUAAAGAGGUAGGACAUGCCUGCCACUCUCACCAGUUCUAACAGGAACUGCAGUGAAGGGCUGUGCUCAGGAAUGAGGCACCAUGUUUUGGGCCCAAGGAUCCAGCAAUGAUCAGGAGGCCUCCAGCCUUGCUCCCUAUUAUUGAGCGAGUAAGUCUGAUCAGUUACCGUGUACAGCAGGUAGAUGAGAUAAGCUACUUCAGGUAUGUUCUGACCCAGGAAAAUCCACACCAGAGGUUUCAGUUCUUUUAGAAUCUGUAAAAUAAGAUGAGAUAGGUACAGCUUUAUACUCUACAAAGGCUAGAGAUGGUUAAUUUUGCAAUGGCAUUUCAGGUGUUGGUCUAGCUGAGUUCUCAGGUGUAACUUUGCUCUCCACUUGCCUUCGCUACCUCUUUGUUUUUAGCAGGAAAUACAGUCUCUGUUCUCCACUGAGCUGGGCCAGGAGUGAUGUUGAUGAAAUCAGAAUUGCUUGUUUCACAGGCACAUCCUGACAGCUGUGUGUGGUUUGAGCCGUCUCAGCAUCCUCUUCAGCUCUGCCUUCUAAUCCUUACAACACAACUCCCAGCUCACUCAAAUGGAGAAGCAGCUGACUCUUCUGAAUUGUAUCUAAGUUGAUGUACUUUCUCUUUGGCGAAGUUGCUGGGAACUAAAUGUGGGAGAAGCAAGAGGAUCUGACUUUCACAAUUAUCUUUAUGACUUGGGAAAGAAGAAACCAUGGACUGCUUUCUAGCAAGUGACAAGUUUCAGCAGUCCUGAGCUGUAAGGGCAGGUCUGAGCAAAAGAAAGAAACUCAGCUGAGUCACUGGGAGUUGAAGUGACUGUGCCAGUGCUGUGCCUCGUCACAGGUGCAGCUUCUGAGAGCACCAAACAAGACAACAAUACAUGCUUCUCUACUGCUGCAUCAUCUGUAAGAAGCUGACUGUGGAAAACCUUGUCUGAACCGGGGAGAACUGUGAAGUUGACAACGGAACGAAACAUCACGAGCAAGAUGGAAAGGACGAAGACGAUGAGCUCCUGGCGGUUCUCCUGCAGGAUUCCUCUAGUCACGUAGUACACACAGAACACUGGGAGGAGAAGGAAAGGGCAGUUACCAGCUGAACACAGGUUGCUCAGGGUGCAGUUUUCCAACAUGCCUCAUCCAGAUGACAAAAUGCAAGUAUCAAGACCCAGUAACUUGGGCUCCUCAGUCAAGAGCAUCUCUUUAUUCUUGCCAAGGAGCCCAAAUCAGAUACUUCAAAUGAGCAGUGUCCCCUGCAUUUGGCAUGCAAGAAAUGGAAUCACUUGUUAGCUUUUAAAAUGACUGAAAGUAAUUUACUUCCCUUACUUAAAGUAACACUUUGAAAUGGCAACAUAUUAGCUGUGCAGUUUGGCAGCUGUGGAAUGAUAUUCUAUCAAUAGCACAUUGAACAUUAUGUGCAAUAGUAUAGUUGAAUUAAAUGAAGCAACUGAAAUGACAUCAUCUUCCCAGUGAGAGUCAUUCAAGUGACUAACAAGCAAUUUACUACUCGUACACAUUCCUCUGUGGUCUUGUUUGUGUGGUUCUGACCACUACAAACCACCUGCACGUUGAGUUGAACGUAGGCUGGGUUCCUAACAGUUUGGUUGAGUGGUGGGACUUUUUGAAACACCCCUCCCUGCAAACCAGACUCGAGUCCAGAACACAACUGCUCUGGGAAAGCUCCUGAGUUAUGUUUUUCUAAACCAUACCCAAACCCACAAGUCACUGUUGAACUCUGCACUGAUCUGACAAAGCUUCAAUAAGGAAAAGGUUUUUCUUUCAUCAAAAGAGAAACUGGUGCUUUGUUCUCACAUUGGCUGCUCCUGCAAACACUAGUUAAUUCUUAUCAUAGACAAAGCAACAAUAGAUUCCUUUUUCCAGAGGGCUACUUCCUGGCCAUCCAGCAAUCUCGUUUCCCCAGGCUGGGACAAACUGUUGUAAAAGUUUUCAAGGUAGCAUCAUAACUUCAGUCCCUCUAAACAAACUUCCUAGUGAGGGAGCUUCCUUUUUCAUGUUUUAACAGUGACUGAGAGAACUGGAGAUGAUUGGGAAAUUACCAAGUGAGCCACAUGACUUGGUUUGUUUCUGGCAUGACUUCAUGGACACCUGAAGGAUUUCAGACAGUAUUUCCUUGUUUUGCAAAUUCAGUUGCUAAAUCAGAAGAAGUCUGUAGAAAUAAUUUGGAAACCAGCUCUUUUCUGAGCAUUCAGACUCUUGCAGAGACAGCAAAUGCACCUUUGUGAAAUGAAAGACAUCCCCUUGGCUUUGCUAAGUGAACAUGUUUUCAGUAAAUUAAAUCUCCAGUCCCCUUUAAAGUGAGUAUCUGUAGUGGUAAGAGAUUAUUACAGCCAGGGCAUCUCUUUUCCUUUAAAGAACUACUCCCAGUUCUGUCAGUCUUUGCCAUACAGAAAACAUGGUUUUGGCAUGUUUAUGGAGGUUAGCUCACACAUCUUACCAUCUCAGCGUGAGCCAAUUGUAGUUUCAACAUGCUCCUUGAAUGGUUUUGUCUGUACUGGCUAAGAUGUUGAAACAGUAACACUUUGAAGUAAUGUGUUAAGAAAACACCCUAUUUUUGGUGAUUUAAACCAGAAGUUUGAGAGGUUUGCACUUCUUCCAGUGUGCUGUGCAGCACAGAACACUAACUGUUAUCAACAGAAGGGGGGGGGAAGGGCUUAGCAAGCAUGCUUUCAGCAUCAUGUGAUUCAUUUGGGUUAUGAUGAAGGUUCUUCCUUUUUCUCUGAAGCACAGAACAGCAUUUGCCAACGAAAUCAGUGUGACAGACUGGAGGCACCAGUGCUGUGUUCUAACGUGGCCGUUUUUGUCAGUGUGCUGAGCCCCUGUGAAAAGCUGCAAAUCAAACCAGCUUUUGGGGAUAAAAGCAUUGUUUGCAUGUGUCUAAUUAUAGAAUCUGGAACAAAUCUAUUGUCUUUGUUCCCUCUGGGUGACAGCAGGAAAGCAAUGACUGCUUAUGAUGAGCGUGUUACAUCCACAGGCUAUUAUUUUCUACACUGAGCCAACAGCCAAGACCUGCUCAAGCCACUGGGGAGCACUUCCUGAAACACUUGCAGCUGAUGUAUUUUCACUUAAGUUUAAUUUCUAUUUUAAUACAAAUGGAUCCAGGAAUAUGGACACAAGUGGCUACUGAGGCUGUAAUUGAAAUAUCCAAGGAACUCUGGAUUUUGCUUACAAGACCAAAAAAAAAAGG